UUGGUAUUCGAAAUGAACGACAAGCGGAUAGCAUCGCGACAUCGCGUUCCAAAAGCCGGUAAGAUACUCUUCGACGGCGCAGUGGUCGACUGCACCGUACCGUAAUAUUUCAAAUGGGCGCGGCAUUGGAGGUCGAAAGCCCAGUCGGCAUACCACUUAAGUUCACCCUGUUGAUCGAGUCGGAUCGUGUCAAGCGCCCUUGCAGCGUCAUUUGGCGGAAGGUUCGGCGUAUAGGGGUAAGAUUUGACGACGGCGAGAGCUGAC
RNAcentral lists this unclassified non-coding RNA (264 nucleotides) under Hevea brasiliensis (rubber tree). Lineage: Eukaryota; Viridiplantae; Streptophyta; Magnoliopsida; Malpighiales; Euphorbiaceae. The record is from RNAcentral.